Molecule: ribosomal RNA, 158 nt
Filed under: Dirina paradoxa
Lineage: Eukaryota; Fungi; Ascomycota; Arthoniomycetes; Arthoniales; Roccellaceae
Description: 5.8S ribosomal RNA
Rfam family: 5.8S ribosomal RNA
About the family: 5.8S ribosomal RNA (5.8S rRNA) is a component of the large subunit of the eukaryotic ribosome. It is transcribed by RNA polymerase I as part of the 45S precursor that also contains 18S and 28S rRNA.
Source: RNAcentral
AAAACUUUCAACAACGGAUCUCUUGGUUCUGGCAUCGAUGAAGAACGUAGCGAAAUGCGAUAAGUAAUGUGAAUUGCAGAAUUUAGUGAAUCAUCGAAUCUUUGAACGCACCUUGCGCCCCCCGGCAUCCCGGCGGGCAUGCCUGUUCGAGCGUCAUU